This 405-nucleotide ribosomal RNA is filed under the name uncultured Eubacteriales bacterium. RNAcentral describes it as "uncultured Clostridiales bacterium partial 16S ribosomal RNA". It matches the Rfam family "Bacterial small subunit ribosomal RNA", at positions 355 to 774 of the family's 1533-position model. The record is from RNAcentral. Lineage: Bacteria; Bacillati; Bacillota; Clostridia; Eubacteriales.
UGGGGAAUAUUGCGCAAUGGGGGAAACCCUGACGCAGCAACGCCGCGUGAAGGAUGAAGGCUUUCGGGUUGUAAACUUCUAUCGACGGGGAAGAAAAAAAUGACAGUACCCGAGUAAGAAGCACCGGCUAAAUACGUGCCAGCAGCCGCGGUAAUACGUAUGGUGCAAGCGUUAUCCGGAAUUACUGGGCGUAAAGGGUGAGUAGGCGGUCAAUUAAGUCAUAUGUGAAAAUCCAGGGCUCAACCCUGGACCUGCAUAAGAAACUGGUAGACUGGAGUGCAGGAGAGGUAAGCGGAAUUCCUAGUGUAGCGGUGAAAUGCGUAGAUAUUAGGAAGAACACCAGUGGCGAAGGCGGCUUACUGGACUGUAACUGACGCUGAGUCACGAAAGCGUGGGGAGCGAACA